Molecule: long non-coding RNA, 1695 nt
Filed under: Bos mutus (wild yak)
Lineage: Eukaryota; Metazoa; Chordata; Mammalia; Artiodactyla; Bovidae
Description: lncRNA (ENSBMUG00000020844.1)
Source: RNAcentral
UGCUGCUUCUUUGCCAGAGAGUGGCCUUGCCUCUGCCAUGCAGGAGGGCGAUGUCCCCUGAGGAGGCCUUGCUGAAUCUGCCAGGGACGGUUCCGGAAGUAGGAAGGGCGGCCGGGGGUGGGGAGGCGGCAGGAAUGUUCUGGCCUGCUGCUCGUACAGGCGAGUGUCCCGAGAGGAGGGCCUCUGGACAUCAAAGGUUCCUUUUGUCCCCCUCCGAGUGGCAGGGCAGACGGGCCGCUGGCGAUGACUCAGGCCUGGCCCUGACGUCACCCACGCCCGGCCACUGGCCUCCCUCUGCAGCCAGGAAACUGGCUGGGGAGUGGCACUCGCAGGCUGCAGCAAAUCUCAAAAUAAGGAGGCAACUGCCUCUCUCCUCCUCCUCUCCAUCGCCCCACAGCACACCUUGGUUUUCUUUUAUGCUGCUGCUUUUUUUGGGGUUUUUUUUUUCUGAAGCCUCACGGAAGGUUUUACUUCUAUAUCAACUUUCAAAAUGUAGGAAGUCAGAAUGGGUGACAUCAUCAGAAAAAUAUGUGGAGCUGAUCUCGACCAGAAGUGAAGAACCCAGAGCAAGAAGGCGGUUAGAACUCCUGAGCCCAGGGAAUUGGCAGCGUCUGGGUUUCAGAGGAGCCAGCGCCUCGGAGUUGUCUAGAAGUGAGGCUCUGCUAAACCGCUCCUCAUCUGGCUAUAAGAUCUGAACGCUGCGACCAUUGAUUUGGUGAGUGUCAUUUGUCCCUAAUGGCUGCUUGAAUUUAGUUGACUAAAUCUGUUCUUUUAUUUUGUUGUCUUGCCUGGAAAUUCCCAUGGAUGGAGGAGCCUGGUGGGCUACAGUCCGUGGGGUCCCUACGAGUCGGACACGACUGAGCGACUUCACUUUCACUUUUCACUUUCAUGCAUUGGAGAAGGAAAUGGCAACCCACUCCAGUGUUCUUGCCUGGAGAAUCCCAGGGACAGGGGAGCCUCGUGGACUGCCGUCUGUGGGGUCAAACAGAGUCGGACACGACUGAAGCAACUUAGCAGCAGCAGCAAGGUACAGGGAAAGGGAAGAAGGCAUGGGGACUUCUGCAUACAACAAUAACAGCUGUAUCAAAGAGGAUAAUAGUAAUAGUUAAGAUAGGCUAAUUGCUGUAAUAGACUGAAAAAGGUAUAAUGACUCAAACACAAUAGAAGUUUAUUUCUUGGUCACAUAACAAUAGAGGUCACACAUUCAUUCAGAGACGUAGGUUGAGAGAGGCUCCACCUUCUGCAGUAUGUUGUUUUAAAGAUCACCUGGGAUUGUUUCCACUUCCCAGUGGAGGAGGAAAAAAGAGUGUGAAAAAGUGCACAUGGAGAUUUUUAUGGCCCCUGCCUAGAAGUGGCCAGGACACAUCUACUCACAUUCUAUUGGCUAAAAUUCUAGUCACAUGACAGCUUCUAACUGCAAAGGCAUCUGGGAAAUGUAGUCCCUGGAUGGGGGGCAGCCACUUUCCAGUAACAGCUCUGGAGUGUUUCUGACGAAGAGGUCGUCUGCUCUGCAAGGCAUAAUGAGGAACUUAGGGAUGCUCAAAAAUAAGAUAGCAGAAUGAAGUAGUGGGGGAAGUAAAAAGAGAUCAGAUAUUUAGAAUUAUAUUAAUAUAACUAACACUUUUUGGUAAGGAGUGGGCAAGGAGCCAGAGAAGGCAAUGGCACCCCACUCCAGUACUUUUGCCUAGAAAAUCC